UACGUAGGUGGCGAGCGUUGUCCGGAUUUACUGGGCGUAAAGGGCGUGCAGGCGGUUUGUUAAGUGCAGGGUGAAAGCUCCCGGCUCAACUGGGAGAGGUCCUUGCAUACUGGCGAACUCGAGGGAGGCAGAGGAAAGUGGAAUUCCCGGUGUAGUGGUGAUAUGCGUAGAUAUCGGGAGGAACACCUGUGGCGAAGGCGGCUUUCUGGGCCUUACCUGACGCUGAGACGCGAAAGCCAGGGGAGCGAACGGG
Molecule: ribosomal RNA, 253 nt
Filed under: uncultured bacterium
Lineage: Bacteria
Description: partial 16S ribosomal RNA
Rfam family: Bacterial small subunit ribosomal RNA
Source: RNAcentral